Molecule: ribosomal RNA, 692 nt
Filed under: uncultured bacterium
Lineage: Bacteria
Description: bacterial SSU rRNA
Rfam family: Bacterial small subunit ribosomal RNA
Source: RNAcentral
AACGCUAGCUACAGGCUUAACACAUGCAAGUCGAGGGGCAGCAUUGGAGUAGCAAUACUUCAGAUGGCGACCGGCGCACGGGUGAGUAACACGUAUCCAACCUGCCGCUUACUCGGGGAUAGCCUUUCGAAAGAAAGAUUAAUACCCGAUGGUAUCUUAAGCGCACAUGCAAAUAAGAUUAAAGAUUUAUCGGUAAGCGAUGGGGAUGCGUUCCAUUAGAUAGUAGGCGGGGUAACGGCCCACCUAGUCGACGAUGGAUAGGGGUUCUGAGAGGAAGGUCCCCCACAUUGGAACUGAGACACGGUCCAAACUCCUACGGGAGGCAGCAGUGAGGAAUAUUGGUCAAUGGGCGCGAGCCUGAACCAGCCAAGUAGCGUGAAGGAUGAAGGUCCUACGGAUUGUAAACUUCUUUUAUAAGGGAAUAAAGUCACCUACGUGUAGGUGUUUGUAUGUACCUUAUGAAUAAGCAUCGGCUAACUCCGUGCCAGCAGCCGCGGUAAUACGGAGGAUGCGAGCGUUAUCCGGAUUUAUUGGGUUUAAAGGGAGCGUAGACGGGUCGUUAAGUCAGCUGUGAAAGUUUGAGGCUCAACCUUAAAAUUGCAGUUGAUACUGGCGUCCUUGAGUACGGUUGAGGCAGGCGGAAUUCGUGGUGUAGCGGUGAAAUGCAUAGAUAUCACGAAGAACUCCGAUUG